Molecule: ribosomal RNA, 226 nt
Filed under: Streptomyces parvus
Lineage: Bacteria; Bacillati; Actinomycetota; Actinomycetes; Kitasatosporales; Streptomycetaceae
Description: partial 16S ribosomal RNA
Rfam family: Bacterial small subunit ribosomal RNA
Source: RNAcentral
AUGAAGUCGGAGUUGCUAGUAAUCGCAGAUCAGCAUUGCUGCGGUGAAUACGUUCCCGGGCCUUGUACACACCGCCCGUCACGUCACGAAAGUCGGUAACACCCGAAGCCGGUGGCCCAACCCCUUGUGGGAGGGAGCUGUCGAAGGUGGGACUGGCGAUUGGGACGAAGUCGUAACAAGGUAGCCGUACCGGAAGGUGCGGCUGGAUCACCUCCUUUCUAAGGAG